UAAACGACUCUCGGCAACGGAUAUCUCGGCUCUUGCAUCGAUGAAGAACGUAGCGAAAUGCGAUACUUGGUGUGAAUUGCAGAAUCCCGUGAACCAUCGAGUCUUUGAACGCAAGUUGCGCCUGAAGCCAUUAUGCUGAAGGCACGUCUGCCUGGGCGUCACGC
Molecule: ribosomal RNA, 164 nt
Filed under: Orthilia secunda (one-sided wintergreen)
Lineage: Eukaryota; Viridiplantae; Streptophyta; Magnoliopsida; Ericales; Ericaceae
Description: 5.8S ribosomal RNA
Rfam family: 5.8S ribosomal RNA
About the family: 5.8S ribosomal RNA (5.8S rRNA) is a component of the large subunit of the eukaryotic ribosome. It is transcribed by RNA polymerase I as part of the 45S precursor that also contains 18S and 28S rRNA.
Source: RNAcentral